GACGAACGCUGGCGGCGUGCCUAAUACAUGCAAGUCGAACGAGAGCGACCGGUGCUUGCACUGGUCAAUCUAGUGGCGAACGGGUGAGUAACACGUGGGUAACCUGCCCAUCAGAGGGGGAUAACAUCCGGAAACGGAUGCUAAGACCGCAUAGGUCUUCGAACCGCAUGGUUUGAAGAGGAAAAGAGGCGCAAGCUUCUGCUGAUGGAUGGACCCGCGGUGCAUUAGCUAGUUGGUGAGGUAACGGCUCACCAAGGCCGUGAUGCAUAGCCGACCUGAGAGGGUGAUCGGCCACAUUGGGACUGAGACACGGCCCAAACUCCUACGGGAGGCAGCAGUAGGGAAUCUUCCGCAAUGGACGCAAGUCUGACGGAGCAACGCCGCGUGAGUGAAGAAGGUUUUCGGAUCGUAAAACUCUGUUGUUAGAGAAGAACAAGUGCUAGAGUAACUGUUAGCGC
This 458-nucleotide ribosomal RNA is filed under the name Granulicatella adiacens. RNAcentral describes it as "bacterial SSU rRNA". It matches the Rfam family "Bacterial small subunit ribosomal RNA", at positions 28 to 475 of the family's 1533-position model. The record is from RNAcentral. Lineage: Bacteria; Bacillati; Bacillota; Bacilli; Lactobacillales; Carnobacteriaceae.